This 253-nucleotide ribosomal RNA is filed under the name uncultured bacterium. Its description in RNAcentral is "partial 16S ribosomal RNA". It matches the Rfam family "Bacterial small subunit ribosomal RNA", at positions 524 to 776 of the family's 1533-position model. The record is from RNAcentral.
UACAGAGGUGGCGAGCGUUGUUCGGAUUUACUGGGCGUAAAGGGUGCGUAGGCGGCUUCGCGUGUCGGAUGUGAAAGCUCACGGCUCAACCGUGGAAUGUCAUCCGAAACUGUGGAGCUAGAGUACAGGAGAGGAGAGCGGAAUUCUCGGUGUAGCGGUGAAAUGCGUAGAUAUCGAGAGGAACGCCGGUGGCGAAGGCGGCUCUCUGGAAUGAUACUGACGCUGAGGCACGAAAGCUGGGGGAGCAAACAGG